UUCAGUGCACGCGAUCCAGACAACUCUUUUGUGACUGUAACUUACAACACAACUCAGCCUUGUAAGAAACGCAGUUCCGGAGGUGACUCACCUCAGGGAGAACUGCACUUCUCGCAAAGGUGGCAAAAUGCUAUUCGCAAAGUGAAUGAGCUUGUCAAAUAACUGGAGGAGGAGGCUGUUAAGUGACCCAUACAUUCGGAAGGAGCACAUAUCCCGUCAGAAACUACCGAUGAAAGCGCCUAAAUGCUGAAUGCCAAACUAUGGCAGCAUUGCAAACGAGGUUCCUGAUGAUUCUCCAGGAUCACCAUGCGCACCACGGAGAUGAAAACAGGAUCUUAAACGGCAUCAAGGCGCAACAAAAAUACGUCCCAAAAGGAUGUCUAGUUAUAGAUUUUUGUUUGUAUGUUUGUAGCGGAACCAUAUUCCUUUAUUUUUUGUAAAUGAGAAUACACAUUAUAUUCAUUCUUACUUUUUUACUUGAGCCGUGCUUUCCAAAGCAAUCUGUUGUUUUUGAGUAACAGUUUUCGCAAACAAACAAUUUAUUUUAAAUCUCAUCAAACCAAAAUAUACAUUGAUUAUAUUGUAAUUCAAACUUCAGCGAAACAGGUUAGUUUUUAUUAAUAGACACAAAAAAUUGUUUGUUUGCAAAAGCGGUUACUCUAAAAUAGCAAAUUAAAUGUAGUAAAAACUAAUUUCAACAAUAUAGAGUAUUGUUUAUUGCAACAUAUUGCACAAUAAAUGAACAAUAUAGUUUAAAGCCA
This is a long non-coding RNA of Aedes albopictus (Asian tiger mosquito), 761 nucleotides long. RefSeq lists it as uncharacterized. The record is from RefSeq and is a predicted model, not a curated record. The transcript is spliced from 2 exons. Lineage: Eukaryota; Metazoa; Arthropoda; Insecta; Diptera; Culicidae.